CUUGGUCAUUUAGAGGAAGUAAAAGUCGUAACAAGGUUUCCGUAGGUGAACCUGCGGAAGGAUCAUUCAUAACGAGUGUUUAUGGCACUCUAAAAAUCCAUACCCACCUUGUGUGCAGCGUUAAGAGUCUUUUGUCUCUCUUUCAGAGGGCACGAGAUUUCUUUUAAUUAAUCUACCUUAAACCAGUUUGUCUGAAGCAUUGUAUCAUGAAUAAACAUAAUUCAAAAUACAACUUUCAACAACGGAUCUCUUGGUUCUCGCAUCGAUGAAGAACGCAGCGAAAUGCGAUACGUAAUGUGAAUUGCAGAAUUCAGUGAAUCAUCGAAUCUUUGAACGCACAUUGCGCUCUCUGGUAUUCCGGAGAGCAUGCUUGUUUGAGUAUCAGUAAAACACCCUCAGUUCUCUUUUUGAGAACUGGACUUGAGUCAUCCCAACGGCAGUUUCAAAACUACUGGCGUGUCGCUUGAAAUGCAGGUGCGGCUGGUCACAUCUUCUGAGCUAUAAGCAUUACUUAUUUAAUCCCGUCAGACGGAUUAUUUCUACUGCUACAGCUAUAUAAGGUCGAUUGUCCGUUUGCCCGACUGAUGCAGAAAAAACAGAGAGAAAUCUUUGUUCACUCGAUCUCAAAUCAAGUAAGACUACCCGCUGAACUUAAGCAUAUCAAUAAGCGGAGGA
RNAcentral lists this ribosomal RNA (675 nucleotides) under uncultured Mortierella. Its description in RNAcentral is "eukaryotic LSU rRNA". The stretch from base 231 to 384 matches the Rfam family "5.8S ribosomal RNA". The record is from RNAcentral. Lineage: Eukaryota; Fungi; Mortierellomycota; Mortierellomycetes; Mortierellales; Mortierellaceae.